RNAcentral lists this ribosomal RNA (407 nucleotides) under uncultured bacterium. RNAcentral's name for it is "partial 16S ribosomal RNA". It matches the Rfam family "Bacterial small subunit ribosomal RNA", at positions 28 to 526 of the family's 1533-position model. The record is from RNAcentral.
GACGAACGCUGGCGGCGUGCCUAAUACAUGCAAGUAGGACGCAGUUGCGAACGGGUGAGUAACGCGUAGGUAACUACCUACUAGAGGGGGAUAACAAUUGUAAACGAUAGCUAAUACCGCAUACUAGUAGAUGGACCUGCGUUGUAUUAGCUAGUAGGUAGGGUAAUGGCCUACCUAGGCAACGAAACAUAGCCGGCCUGAGAGGGGGAUCGGCCAAACUGGGACUGGGACACGGGCCAGACUCCUACGGGGGGCAGCAGUAGGGAAUCUUCGGCAAUGGGGGGAACGCUGAACGAGGAACGCCGCGGGAGUGAAGAAGGUUUUCGGAUCGUAAAGCUCUGUUGUUAAGGAAGCGGUACUUAACCAGAAAGGGACGGCUAACUACGUGCCAGCAGCCGCGGUAAUAC